RNAcentral lists this ribosomal RNA (253 nucleotides) under uncultured bacterium. RNAcentral's name for it is "partial 16S ribosomal RNA". It matches the Rfam family "Bacterial small subunit ribosomal RNA", at positions 524 to 776 of the family's 1533-position model. The record is from RNAcentral.
UACGUAGGGGGCGAGCGUUGUCCGGAUUUAUUGGGCGUAAAGAGCGUGUAGGCGGCCAGGUAGGUCAGCUGUGAAAACUCGAGGCUCAACCUCGAGAUGUCGGCUGAAACCAUCUGGCUAGAGUCCGGAAGAGGAGAAUGGAAUUCCCGGUGUAGCGGUGAAAUGCGCAGAUAUCGAGAGGAACACCUGCGGCGAAGGCGGGUUGCUGGGCUGACACUGACGCUGAGGCGCGAAAGCUAGGGGAGCGAACGGG